RNAcentral lists this ribosomal RNA (253 nucleotides) under uncultured bacterium. RNAcentral describes it as "partial 16S ribosomal RNA". It matches the Rfam family "Bacterial small subunit ribosomal RNA", at positions 524 to 776 of the family's 1533-position model. The record is from RNAcentral.
UACGGGGGAUGCAAGCGUUAUCCGGAAUCAUUGGGUUUAAAGGGUGCGUAGGCGGUUAGAUAAGUCAGAGGUGAAAGGUUGUCGCUUAACGAUAAAAUUGCCUUUGAUACUGUUUAACUUGAAUUAGGAUGAGGUAAGCGGAAUGCGUCAUGUAGCGGUGAAAUGCAUAGAUAUGACGUAGAACACCGAUUGCGAAGGCAGCUUACUGGACCUUGAUUGACGCUGAGGCACGAAAGCGUGGGGAGCGAACAGG